This 445-nucleotide ribosomal RNA is filed under the name uncultured bacterium. RNAcentral's name for it is "partial 16S ribosomal RNA". It matches the Rfam family "Bacterial small subunit ribosomal RNA", at positions 330 to 792 of the family's 1533-position model. The record is from RNAcentral.
ACCAGACUCCUACGGGAGGCAGCAGUGGGGGAUAUUGCACAAUGGGGGAAACCCUGAUGCAGCGACGCCGCGUGGGUGAAGAAGCGCCUCGGCGCGUAAAGCCCUGUCAGCAGGGAAGAAAAUGACGGUACCUGAAGAAGAAGCCCCGGCUAACUACGUGCCAGCAGCCGCGGUAAUACGUAGGGGGCAAGCGUUAUCCGGAUUUACUGGGUGUAAAGGGAGCGUAGGCGGUUUAGCAAGUCAGAAGUGAAAGCCCGGGGCUCAACUCCGGGACUGCUUUGGAAACUGCCCGGCUAGAGUGCUGGAGAGGUAAGUGGAAUUCCUAGUGUAGCGGUGAAAUGCGUAGAUAUUAGGAGGAACACCAGUGGCGAAGGCGGCUUACUGGACAGUAACUGACGUUGAGGCUCGAAAGCGUGGGGAGCAAACAGGAUUAGAUACCCGGGUA